GAUGAACGCUAGCUACAGGCUUAACACAUGCAAGUCGCGGGGCAGCAUGGGGGUUGCUUGCAAUCCCCGAUGGCGACCGGCGCACGGGUGAGUAACGCGUAUCCAACCUGCCCUUCACCACGGGAUAACCCGGCGAAAGUCGGACUAAUACCGUAUGUUGUCCAUUGACGGCAUCCGAUUUGGACGAAAGGUUUGGCGGUGAAGGAUGGGGAUGCGUCCGAUUAGCUGGACGGCGGGGUGACGGCCCACCGUGGCGACGAUCGGUAGGGGUUCUGAGAGGAAGGCCCCCGACACUGGAACUGAGACACGGUCCAGACUCCUACGGGAGGCAGCAGUGAGGAAUAUUGGUCAAUGGGCGUAAGCCUGAACCAGCCAAGUAGCGUGCAGGAUGACGGCCCUAUGGGUUGUAAACUGCUUUUAUGCGGGGAUAAAGUGGCCCACGUGUGGGUUUUUGCAGGUACCGCAUGAAUAAGGACCGGCUAAUUCCG
This 488-nucleotide ribosomal RNA is filed under the name uncultured bacterium. RNAcentral's name for it is "partial 16S ribosomal RNA". It matches the Rfam family "Bacterial small subunit ribosomal RNA", at positions 28 to 505 of the family's 1533-position model. The record is from RNAcentral.